This 491-nucleotide long non-coding RNA is filed under the name Carassius auratus (goldfish). RNAcentral's name for it is "lncRNA (ENSCARG00000004056.1)". Lineage: Eukaryota; Metazoa; Chordata; Actinopteri; Cypriniformes; Cyprinidae. The record is from RNAcentral.
GUCUGGAAGAAUCUGAUCCACUUCAUGAUAUGUUUCAUUCCGAACCAGAUCAAGUGAAGAAAAUAAAAGUAAAACAAGGAGAUACUGUCACUCUAAAGAGUGGUGUUACUGAGAUACAUGAUCGGCUACGGUGGAAAUAUGCUGAUUCCAGAGCUUCUGAAUCCACAACCUUAUAUAGUGUCAUCGCUGUAUACGAUAAAAGGAGUGGCAGGAUCUUGGAAAGGGAAGGUCCUGAAGGGAAAUUCAAAGACAGGCUACAUCUGGACCACCAGACUGGAAAUCUCACCAUCAAGAACAUAAGAGUCAAAGACAGUGGGCUAUUUAAAGUAGAGAUCAAGAGCAACACCAAUCCACUUACAAAAACAAUCAAAGUCAAUGUCCGUGUUCCUACAAAAAUGGUAUUGGAUGAUCCAAAUGACACAUUGUUGUCAUUGAUACCAGAAGAGGACCCCAACGACACUACUACAUAUAGUGUAGAGCCCGGGAUAUAG